This 474-nucleotide ribosomal RNA is filed under the name uncultured organism. RNAcentral's name for it is "partial 16S ribosomal RNA". It matches the Rfam family "Bacterial small subunit ribosomal RNA", at positions 331 to 797 of the family's 1533-position model. The record is from RNAcentral.
GUACACUCCUGCGGGAGGCAGCAGUGGGGAAUUUUGGACAAUGGGCGAAAGCCUGAUCCAGCAAUGCCGCGUGAGUGAAGAAGGCCUUCGGGUUGUAAAGCUCUUUUGUCAGGGAAGAAACGGUGAGAGCUAAUAUCUCUUGCUAAUGACGGUACCUGAAGAAUAAGCACCGGCUAACUACGUGCCAGCAGCCGCGGUAAUACGUAGGGUGCAAGCGUUAAUCGGAAUUACUGGGCGUAAAGCGUGCGCAGGCGGUUUUGUAAGUCUGAUGUGAAAUCCCCGGGCUCAAACUGGGAAUUGCAUUGGAGACUGCAAGGCUAGAAUCUGUCAGAGGGGGGUAGAAUUCCACGUGUAGCAGUGAAAUGCGUAGAUAUGUGGAGGAACACCGAUGGCGAAGGCAGCCCCCUGGGUCAAGAUUGACGCUCAUGCACGAAAGCGUGGGGAGCAAACAGGAUUAGAUACCCUUGUAGUCCC